RNAcentral lists this transfer RNA (76 nucleotides) under Sporomusa termitida. RNAcentral describes it as "tRNA-Lys". It matches the Rfam family "tRNA". Rfam says of the family: Transfer RNA (tRNA) molecules are approximately 80 nucleotides in length. The record is from RNAcentral. Lineage: Bacteria; Bacillati; Bacillota; Negativicutes; Selenomonadales; Sporomusaceae. RNAcentral also lists the same sequence under 14 other names.
GACCUACUAGCUCAGUCGGUAGAGCACCUGACUUUUAAUCAGGGUGUCCCGCGUUCGAGUCGCGGGUGGGUCACCA